CCAUGUCUUGUAAUUGGAAUGAGUAGAAUUCAAAUCCCUUUAUGAGUAUCGAUUGGAGGGCAAGUCUGGUGCCAGCAGCCGCGGUAAUUCCAGCUCCAAUAGCGUAUAUUAAAGUUGUUGCAGUUAAAAAGCUCGUAGUUGGAUUUCUGGCAGUGUGACUCCGGCCGGCAUGACGUCGGGUCCAGAGCGCGCUACCAUCCUUCUGUCAACCUUCGCGGGAUUCAUUUCCCGCCCUGGGGCUCAGAUAUUUUACCUUGAGAAAAUUAGAGUGUUUCAGGCAGGCUUUCGCCGGAAUACAUUAGCAUGGAAUGAUGGAAAAGGACUUCAACCUCUUCUGUUGGUCUGAGAGGCUGUAGUAAUGAUUAAUAGGGAUAGUUGGGGGCAUUAGUACUUGACUGUCAGAGGUGAAAUUCUCCGAUUUGUUAAAGACUAACUUAUGCGAAAGCAUUUGCCAAGGAUGUUUUCAUUAAUCAAGAACGAAAGUUAGGGGAUCAAAGACGAUCAGAUACCGUCCUAGUCUUAACCAUAAACUAUGCCGACUCGGGAUCGGAGGCGCGCAA
Molecule: ribosomal RNA, 560 nt
Filed under: uncultured ciliate
Lineage: Eukaryota; Ciliophora
Description: SSU rRNA
Rfam family: Eukaryotic small subunit ribosomal RNA
Source: RNAcentral